UGAGGAAUAUUGGUCAAUUGGACGGAAGUCUGAACCAGCCAAGUAGCGUGCAGGAUGACGGCCCUAUGGGUUGUAAACUGCUUUUGUAUGGGGAUAAAGUCAAUCACGUGUGAUUGUUUGCAGGUACCAUACGAAUAAGGACCGGCUAAUUCCGUGCCAGCAGCCGCGGUAAUACGGAAGGUUCGGGCGUUAUCCGGAUUUAUUGGGUUUAAAGGGAGCGUAGGCCGGAGAUUAAGUGUGUUGUGAAAUGUAGACGCUCAACGUCUGACUUGCAGCGCAUACUGGUUUCCUUGAGUACGCACAACGUUGGCGGAAUUCGUCGUGUAGCGGUGAAAUGCUUAGAUAUGACGAAGAACUCCGAUUGCGAAGGCAGCUGACGGGAGCGCAACUGACGCUGAAGCUCGAAGGUGCGGGUAUCGAACAGGAUUAGAUACCCUGGUAGUCCGCACAGUAAACGAUGGAUGCCCGCUGUUGGUACCUGGUAUCAGCGGCUAAGCGAAAGCAUUAAGCAUCCCACCUGGGGAGUACGCCGGCAACGGUG
RNAcentral lists this ribosomal RNA (541 nucleotides) under uncultured bacterium. Its description in RNAcentral is "bacterial SSU rRNA". It matches the Rfam family "Bacterial small subunit ribosomal RNA", at positions 355 to 896 of the family's 1533-position model. The record is from RNAcentral.